CUACCUGGUUGAUCCUGCCA
Molecule: ribosomal RNA, 20 nt
Filed under: Schiedea laui
Lineage: Eukaryota; Viridiplantae; Streptophyta; Magnoliopsida; Caryophyllales; Caryophyllaceae
Also listed under: 1 other name
Description: partial 18S ribosomal RNA
Source: RNAcentral